Small nuclear RNA from Suncus etruscus (white-toothed pygmy shrew), 106 nucleotides. The record is from RefSeq and is a predicted model, not a curated record. NCBI's taxonomy places the organism in Eukaryota, Metazoa, Chordata, Mammalia, Eulipotyphla, Soricidae.
GUGCUCGAUUUGGUAGCACAUAUGCUACAAUUGGGACAAUACAGAGAAGAUUAGCAUGACCCAUGUGGAAGGAUGACAUGCAAAUUGUGAAGCAUUUCAUGUAAAA